AAANGNNUGAUCUUGGCUCAGGAAGUUNGUAACAAGGUAACNAGUANAGUUUGAUNAUGGNUNAGNAAGUCGUAACAANGUAANCAGUANAGUUUGANNUUGCGNNNGAUAACUAUUGNAAANNAUNNNUAAUACCNNAUAAUAUUNAUUAUUGCAUGAUAAUUGAUUGAAAGAUGCUAUUGCAUCACUACCAGAUGGACCUGCGUUGUAUUAGCUAGUAGGUGAGGUAACGGCUCACCUUAGGCGACGAUACAUNAGCCGNUACCUGAGAGGGUGAUCGGCCACACUGGGACUGAAACACGGCCCAGACUCCUANCGGGAGGCAGCAGUAGGGAAUCUUCGACAAUGGACGAAAGUCUGACCGAGCAACGCCGCGNAUGAGUGAAGAAGGUUUUCGGAUCGUAAAGCUCUGUUGUAAGAGAAGAACGGGUGUGAGAGUGGAAAGUUCACACUGUGACGGUAUCUUACCAGAAAGGGACGGCUAACUACGUGCCAGCAGCCGCGGUAAUACGUAGGUCCCGAGCGUUGUCCGGAUUUAUUGGGCGUAAAGCGAGCGCAGGCGGUUAGAUAAGUCUGAAGUUAAAGGCUGUGGCUUAACCAUAGUACGCUUUGGAAACUGUUUAACUUGAGUGCAGAAGGGGAGAGUGGAAUUCCAUGUGUAGCGGUGAAAUGCGUAGAUAUAUGGAGGAACACCGGUGGCGAAAGCGGCUCUCUGGUCUGUAACUGACGCUGAGGCUCAAAAGCGUGGGGAGCGAACAGGAUUAGAUACCCUGGUAGACCACGCCGUAAACGAUGAGUGCUAGGUGUAAGACCAUUUCCGGGGCUUAGUGCCGCNAAGCUAACGCAUUAAGAACUCCGCCUGGGGAGUACGACNNCGCAAGGUUGAUAACUCAAAGGAAUUGACGGGUGNNGCCCNUUGNNCAACNAANAGNNACUGGUGAAGNCCAANAAUUANNNNGUUUUGNGUUNUAAUUCCAAGCAACNNGCGGNAAGAACCUUACCAGGUCUUNNGACANUAUCCCGAUAGNUCUUCCUGCUCUAAAAAAAGAGUUUUACUUCGGUACAUCGGUGACAGGUGGUGCAUGGUUGUCGUCAGCUCGUGUCGUGAGAUGUUGGGUUAAGUCCCGCAACGAGCGCAACCCUUAUUGUUAGUUGCCAUCAUUCAGUUGGGCACUCUAGCGAGACUGCCGGUAAUAAACCGGAGGAAGGUGGGGAUGACGUCAAAUCAUCAUGCCCCUUAUGACCUGGGCUACACACGUGCUACAAUGGCUGGUACAACGAGUCGCAAGUCGGUGACGGCAAGCUAAUCUCUUAAAGCCAGUCUCAGUUCGGAUUGUAGGCUGCAACUCGCCUACAUGAAGUCGGAAUCGCUAGUAAUCGCGGAUCAGCACGCCGCGGUNAAUACGUUCCNUAGNNUUGUANNCANCUCCGUCANUCCAACAGAGUAANCACUUNNAUUUUUCGUGCNNCGCAUNUCGUAA
RNAcentral lists this ribosomal RNA (1481 nucleotides) under Streptococcus sp. RNAcentral describes it as "partial 16S ribosomal RNA". It matches the Rfam family "Bacterial small subunit ribosomal RNA". The record is from RNAcentral. Lineage: Bacteria; Bacillati; Bacillota; Bacilli; Lactobacillales; Streptococcaceae.